RNAcentral lists this ribosomal RNA (473 nucleotides) under uncultured bacterium. RNAcentral describes it as "bacterial SSU rRNA". It matches the Rfam family "Bacterial small subunit ribosomal RNA", at positions 28 to 507 of the family's 1533-position model. The record is from RNAcentral.
GGCGAACGCUGGCGGCGCGCCUAAUGCAUGCAAGUCGAGCGACGCAUGCCCGGUGGGUAACCACUAGGUAUGACGGAGCGGCGAACGGGUGAGUAACACGUGAGUAACCUGCCCCGAAGACCCGGGAUAGCCCGGGGAAACCCGGAUUAAUACCGGAUACCCUCUCUGGAUCGCAUGGUCCGGUGAGGAAAUGCCUUUGCGCUUCGGGAUGGACUCGCGGCCUAUCAGCUUGUUGGUGAGGUAACGGCUCACCAAGGCUACGACGGGUAGCUGGUCUGAGAGGACGAUCAGCCACACUGGGACUGAGACACGGCCCAGACUCCUACGGGAGGCAGCAGCAGGGAAUCUUGUCCAAUGGGCGCAAGCCUGAGACAGCGACGCCGCGUGAGGGAUGAAGGCCUUCGGGUUGUAAACCUCUUUCAGGAGGGACGAAAUUGACGGUACCUCCAGAAGAAGCCCCGGCCAACUACGUG